Micropterus salmoides (largemouth bass) is the source of this 4555-nucleotide RNA transcript. It is a transcript of the gene named coiled-coil domain containing 57, with no coding region annotated. The record is from RefSeq and is a predicted model, not a curated record. The transcript is spliced from 19 exons. Lineage: Eukaryota; Metazoa; Chordata; Actinopteri; Centrarchiformes; Centrarchidae.
AAAGUAAACCGGGUUUAAUAAAUUCCAGAAUUUCAUUUUAGUGCAGUAGGACCAGGAAGCAUUGUCUAUCUCUGUAGCUGGGGAAGAAUUUGACAGACGUACGGUUGCCAUGGAAAACAUUUGCAUCAGAGGAACGAGCAAAGUGUUCAAGUUGGCGUUAACGUUACUUAACGUCAAAUUAAUCUCUUAAAUUGUUAUUAUCUAAGCGUGAUAUGUAUGUUUGGCCGCUAAAUGUCGUGUUGACUGUGAAGUAACGUUAGAACAUUACGAGCUCAAACGGCUGCCUACUCAUUCUGCAGAGGCCUACCGUCGAGUGCCACGUUAAAGCUUCUGUAUCAUGGUGUACUGCGGUUCCACCAUGCAGUCAGAAGAGGACAGUGGAAUAGGAAACCUAGAGGCCCAGCUGGCCUGUAAAGAGAGGGAGUGGAAGGAGCUCCAGGCUGCAAGGUUUCACCAACUGGAGAAUUCCCUCAAAAAGGCCCAGGAGGAGUGGUCUUCCCUCAGUGAACGCCACCUGCAACUGAGGGAAGAUUUCCAGUUCAACCUGGCCAUCCUGGAUGAAAGAGACAGAGAGCUGGAGAGAUAUGAUAUCAUAUUUGCCAAAGCUUUGACUGUGGAGCACAACAGGCAGGAGGAACUGAAUCAGCUCCGUAUGCAUGUUGGCAGACUGGAGGAGCAGAGAGCCAGAGAGAUCGAGGAGAGGCAGGAAGAGCUCAAUAAAAGUGCUGCUCAGUACAGGCUGCAGCUGGAUGAGCUCAAGCGCUCUAUGGCUGGUGAAAUUCAACAGCAAAAGAAGGAGUACGAGAGGAUGAAAUCGGAUUUGCAGUGCAUGAUACAAGAGGUGGAAGCAGUGCUAACCCUACAGAGACAGGAGAUGACAGCAGCUUUUGACAGUGAGCUCAGACAGCGGGAGUAUGAGUUCAACUUGAAAAUGGAUGAGAUGCGUGCUGUGGAGUUGUCUUGUGAUUUGAAGGUGAAGCUGCUCUCUAAAGAAACUGAAAUUCACUGUCAGGCUCAGCUCCAGGCCACAGAGGCUCUUAAAGCAUCCAAAGAGUUCUGUCAGAAAAUUCAAACCAAGCUGCAACUUAAAGACCAGGAGAUCAAAGACCUCACUGCUGUCAAGGACUACAGAAUAAAGGAGCUUGGGGAUGAGCUGAAAUGGAUGGAGAACAAACUGAAGAUGCAGGAAGACGACCACAUUAAGAAAUAUGAGGAUGUGGUCUGUGCUCUGAAGGAGUAUGAUUUGCAUCUGGAGGCUCAGUGUCAGGGCCACACAGAGCAGCUGCAGAAGGCUGAGAAACAAAUUGUCAUACUACAGGAGAAUAUGGAAGUUCUGGCUGCACAGACACGCUCCAAAGAGGAAGACCAGCAGGAGGCCAUGGAACAGAAAGAUGAGACGAUCCAAAGCCUUCGCAGAGAGUUAGAUAAAACCCGGACAGGCUGGGACAGAUACAUCAGUCAGGUCUCUAGUGAGAUGGUUUUCAAGGACACAGAGAUAAUCACCCUGCGGGAGAGCGAAACCAAACUUAGGACCGAGUUGGAGAGGUGCAGGGAGGAGAUGGAGAGGUACAAGCAGCAGCUGAGUGCUAGUCUGAAGAGAGAGAGGGCCUUAAAACAGAUGCAAAUCCAGGUGGAACUGGAGUGGCAGAGACGCUGUGAGGACAUGAAGGUUGAACACUGUCUUGCUAAUGAACAGCUAAUACAAGAGCUGACCCAGGCUAGAGAUCAGGCUAACGCAGAGCUGAAAGAGAAAGAACAAGAGCUGCAGGACCUUACUGUCUUACUACACUGUGUUAAAAAAGAGGGAGUCCAGGCAACACAGGAUCUCACACCAAAUGUUGAUUCUCCGGCAUCAGAAAAGAUUCGUCAUCUGCAGGAGCAGAACAGCAUCAUGCGGGCCGUGAUUACCCACAUGAGGAAGGACAUGGAGGGCCUCAGCCAUCUCCUACCCCAUCCCCAGGCUCAGCCACAGGCCUCCUCUGCUCAGCCAGUUCAUCAUCCAGGAGCCCCUGCCACCAGCUCCAUUGCCCCUACAGCUAACACUCAGAUGGCAGCAGGUGAUCUGUGCCUGGAGAAAUGCGCCAACCCCUCUGCUUUGACAAAGCAGGAGUUCACAGUUGCACAUUCAGAAUCUGCUUGCGCCAACAUCAUAGAACAGAGUGCACUGGUGCGACAGCUACAAGACCACCUGUGUUUGCGGCAGCAGCAGUCCUCAGGUCUGAUGCACGGUGAUGUGUUUGAAAAUGUCCAGGGUGCUAAAAGCAGCCUUCCUCUCCUGCGUACCAGGCUGAAGCAGGCAGCGUUCUGUAUCGCCCGUCUGAGCAGAGAGAAACAGCAGCUGAUAGAGAUGGGGAAUCACCUCCGUGCCCAGAUCACCACUGCUGGACUACAUGAACCAGAGAAGGACUCUUCUGCAGAGAAACAAGGAGACCAACAUGACCGGCUGUCUGCUCUGGAACAGCUGCAGUACCAGCUCACCACACAGGAGCUGCAGUAUGCUUUGAGACAGAGGGCUUGCACUGAUCUCAUCCUCACUGAAACCAGCAACCGAGGUCCUGCAACAAAUGGGGCUGCCAACCCCUGGUCCCUGGGGCGCAAAACCACAGACAGGCCUGAGAUAGAUGGAUGGAUAGAUCUAUAUAUACGUAAAAACAAUGACUGUCCAGCUCUCUUCUUCAGACAUCCAAGAACAAAGAGACCACUCCUCCAAUCAGUCAGUCACAAAACUCAUUGGACAUGGGGCCACAUCCCCUUUCAGGUCUGACAAGGUCUGAGUUGUCAUCAGAGGAAUCACUGCGGUUGUUAAAGGAGCUGUGGGAGAUACUCGACCAUGGACUCAGUCCCUCUGUCUUCUCAGAAGAUGAGCUGAGCUGGAGGGAGAUGGCUGAGUCGGGUGGUGAUGGAGUCCAUCCCCCAACCAAGGUCCAGCAGAGUACGAACCCCUUUACAUCUCCAUCAAAGCACUAGGAGGAUCAGCAAGAUCAGAAAUUACAAUGUCUGACACACAUACAGGACAGUCUGUCAGUAUAUUGGUCAUGGUUAGCACUACUGGAUCGGUUCAAUCUUCUAUGUCACUGGAGGAGCUUUGUCAAGUCUGAGAAAAUCCCUGGUUAUGUCAUAGUGAUGUCAUCAGGAUUAUCUCAGCCACAAAUUUCUAACAGCAACUACAAUAUCAUACUAUGAACUAAAAGUAUUUCUAAUCAUCUGCUGCUUCGAUUUUUACCAUUCAUUCUUUUAAAGCCAAUAUGUAUAGCUUAUUAUUUCAUUAUAGCUUCUUCCAAGUGAUCCUGACAGCAUAAGUACACACAAUAGUAAAAGCACAGACAAGAGAAAUUCACUCCAAAUCAAUAAAUACCAAAACACAAUAUUCUUCAUUACAUUAUAGAAUAAAGAUUAUGGUAAGAAGAUAUUAUUAUAUUUGAAUGCUCCUUCAAACAUCAGAGCUCACAUGUCUGAACAGUAAAGGACUACUGCGGACUGUGUAUAAUACUUAUUAUUUUUAAAUGUAUAUAUUGUUGAAGGCAGUUUUGCAUGUUUUAUUGUAUUGUUAGUAAAUUCACCUUUUUUAUUUUCUUUGUUUUUCCAAAAAUAGUUCAGUUUCGAGUUUGUCAAAUUGUCUGUUUUCAUUGUGAUCUCAGCAAUAAAAUCUGACAGCGACUCGUAAGGGAAGAAAGUCAAAGAAAGUUGUGAAUGGGGUCCUGACUGUUGAGAAUAUUUCUUAGGUGUCAAGACAGGUCUAGCUUAGUGUAAUGUAGUUGACCCCAUAAGUGUUUGACAUUAUAGCUUUAGGUAGUUCUCACAUGUACUUGUCCUCGUCAAGAAGACAACAAUAGACUGAUUAGCUAAAGACAGUAGCUCAGACGUCAGGCUAGCAGAUAUCAGUGUUCUCUGGGAAUCUUACAAGGUUGAGCCAUACAAGAAUGUUUACAAGAACUAACUCCACAAUUCCACAGAUUAGAGUACAACUCAUGGAUAGUGAUAGAUUCCAAUAUGACGAAGCAUUGGAAUCUAAACAUCAGAUAGAUAGUUGUUCUAGGUGAAGGUGACCUAAUAAAGAAACCUACAGGCACUAGGUGGCAGACAGAAACAUAAAAGGGACCACAAGAUGUUCUCCUUCAGAUUUGGUGUUGGCAUUUGACGUGUUCACAUGUUGUAUGCUGGCACUGUAUCUCCUCAAACCAUGCUAAGUCUUCAUCAGUCUCUAAAACUUCUUCACACCUGACAGCUGGCUCACAAUAAUUCUCAACACUGACCAAAACUAGGGCUCCCUGGUGGUUUGUGGUUAAAGCACCAACCAUAAACUGCAGCGUCCCUGGUUUGUGUCUGGCCGGGGACCCUGGUUACAUGUCAUCCCUAGUCUCUCUCUCCACUCAUUUCCUGUCAUCUCACUACUUUCAACUAUCCAGUAAAGACAUACAUACAAUACCCUACACAUUGUUGGAGUUUCUUUUCACUGUGGGUACCAGUAAAUGAGCAGAAAUCCAAUAUAUUUUCAGAACAUGUAUUAAUCUGGAUUUUUUUGUUGAUUAAAAUGCCAUCUCUCUUCUUUAAACUA